RNAcentral lists this ribosomal RNA (230 nucleotides) under uncultured bacterium. RNAcentral describes it as "partial 16S ribosomal RNA". It matches the Rfam family "Bacterial small subunit ribosomal RNA", at positions 15 to 235 of the family's 1533-position model. The record is from RNAcentral.
GAUCAUGGCUCAGGAUGAACGCUAGCUACAAGCUUAACACAUGCAAGUCGAGGGGCAGCAUUUUAGUUUGCUUGCAAACUAAAGAUGGCGACCAGCGCACGGGUGAGUAACACGUAUCCAACCUGCCGAUAACUCUGGGAUAGCCUUUCGAAAGAAAGAUUAAUACCGGAUGGCAUAGGAUUAUCGCAUGAUAAUCCUAUUAAAGAAUUUCGAUUAUCGAUGGGGAUGCG